RNAcentral lists this transfer RNA (83 nucleotides) under Actinomycetota bacterium. Its description in RNAcentral is "Actinobacteria bacterium tRNA-Leu". It matches the Rfam family "tRNA". Rfam says of the family: Transfer RNA (tRNA) molecules are approximately 80 nucleotides in length. Their secondary structure includes four short double-helical elements and three loops (D, anti-codon, and T loops). The record is from RNAcentral. Lineage: Bacteria; Bacillati; Actinomycetota.
GGGCGGGUGGCGGAACGGCAGACGCGCACGGUUCAGGUCCGUGUGUCCUAGCGGACGUGAGGGUUCAAAUCCCUCCUCGCCCA